GACGAACGCUGGCGGCGUGCUUAACACAUGCAAGUCGAACGGAAAGGCCCUGCCUGCAGGGUACUCGAGUGGCGAACGGGUGAGUAACACGUGGGUGAUCUGCCCUGCACUUCGGGAUAAGCCUGGGUAACUGGGUCUAAUACCGGAUAGGAGCCAUUUUUAGUGUGAUGGUUGGAAAGUUUUUUCGGUGUAGGAUGAGCUCGCGGCCUAUCAGCUUGUUGGUGGGGUAAUGGCCUACCAAGGCGGCGACGGGUAGCCGGCCUGGGAGGGUGGCCGGCCACAUCGGGACUGAGAUACGGCCCAGACUCCGACGGGAGGCAGAAGUGGGGAAUAGUGCACAAUGGGCGCAAGCCUGAUGCAGCGACGCCGCGUGGGGGAUGACGGCCUUCGGGUUGUAAACUCCUUUCGCUAGGGACGAAGCUGUUUGUGACGGUACCUAGAUAAGAAGCACCGGCUAACUACGUG
Molecule: ribosomal RNA, 465 nt
Filed under: uncultured bacterium
Lineage: Bacteria
Description: partial 16S ribosomal RNA
Rfam family: Bacterial small subunit ribosomal RNA
Source: RNAcentral